ACGUAGGUGACAAGCGUUGUCCGGAUUUACUGGGUGUAAAGGGCGCGUAGGCGGACUGUCAAGUCAGUCGUGAAAUACCGGGGCUUAACCCCGGGGCUGCGAUUGAAACUGACAGCCUUGAGUAUCGGAGAGGAAAGUGGAAUUCCUAGUGUAGCGGUGAAAUGCGUAGAUAUUAGGAGGAACACCAGUGGCGAAGGCGGCUUUCUGGACGACAACUGACGCUGAGGCGCGAAAGUGUGGGGAGCAAACAG
Molecule: ribosomal RNA, 251 nt
Filed under: uncultured bacterium
Lineage: Bacteria
Description: partial 16S ribosomal RNA
Rfam family: Bacterial small subunit ribosomal RNA
Source: RNAcentral